This 1154-nucleotide long non-coding RNA is filed under the name Equus asinus (donkey). RNAcentral's name for it is "lncRNA (ENSEASG00005028225.1, ENSEASG00020001182.1)". Lineage: Eukaryota; Metazoa; Chordata; Mammalia; Perissodactyla; Equidae. The record is from RNAcentral.
GGCUUCUGCCCCCCAGGGCUAAAUGAUUGUGGACAUUUGACAAAGGUUAGAAUUACCUGCUGUGGGCAGGGACCUUGGUCAUAAUCCUGUCAUUUUCCAGAUAGAAAUGACUGACUGCGUCAUGGAAUUAUCUACAGCUAUGUGACUUUGGGGACUUGCUUCCUUUCUCUGGGCCUCAGUUUCUCCUUCGACAAACCAGGAAUAAUUCCUAAGUUUCUUUCCAGGAUUGAACAGAUAAAUAAAUGUGGUGAUGUUGAUGGAAGCCAGAGUUUUCACUGUGAUAAAACGGAAUAUGGAAGGAGGGAAGACAAAGAAAACCUUACAGGGUUAGAUUGGAAUUGGAGAUAUCAGUAGGAACAGGUAUUUCCUGUGUCUGUUGAAAGUGCAAGACGCAGUGACACCUCAGGAAUAACGAGCAUACUUAAAGCCUAGACGUUGGUUUCUAAAUGUCAUUCUGUACUAAAAGGAAGCAGGGCAAAUUGAAGAUAUGGCUCAGUCCAGGACUGGGACAGGGAAGAUAUAAGAUGAGCCUGGAACAUCUUAUUGUCUAGGAAGUGCUCAAAAAAUAAAAAUGGAGGCAUGUUAAAAGGACAGAGGAGCCAGCUUGAAGGGACUCCCAUUGUAUGCAUAUGGGACAAUUUCAGCAUCCAACAUUAAGAAGCAUAAUGGACUAUAACACAGUGAAUGAAAUAGGAAUCCAUGAAUGCAUACUGAUAAAUAAUAGGUAAACAAACAAAUAAACGAAGAAGAAAGGAAGGCUCUUCCUAACUGAUGCCAACUGAUAAAUGUGGAGAGAAUGGUGAAUCUGGGAAAACACUAUUUGCAACCAUCACAGAACAGAUUGUUUUAGGAAAGAUUUAUCAAUGGAGACCAAAUCUAGGGAGAAAAGUUUGGUGAGAAACGAAUAUUUGCAUCGUUCCAAACUGUUUCCACACAGAUUGCUUAUUCAUUGCAAGGGGAAAAUAGUUAUUCCACAGUGGAGAAAUUGGACAACACUUUACCUGGUGAUAAAAAUUAACAUCACUAACGUGUGGCAGAUGGACAAGGUGCCUUCAGAUAUGACACCCUAAGAAGGAUGCAUCAUGUAUGUGAUAUUCCAACUGGGCAUAUAUUACCUGAAUGGACUUAAGAGGAAAUAUCAGAUGUGACAAGUA